AUGAACGCUGGCGGCGUGCCUAAUACAUGCAAGUCGAGCGAACAGACGAGGAGCUUGCUCCUCUGACGUUAGCGGCGGACGGGUGAGUAACACGUGGAUAACCUACCUAUAAGACUGGGAUAACUUCGGGAAACCGGAGCUAAUACCGGAUAAUAUAUUGAACCGCAUGGUUCAAUAGUGAAAGACGGUUUUGCUGUCACUUAUAGAUGGAUCCGCGCCGCAUUAGCUAGUUGGUAAGGUAACGGCUUACCAAGGCAACGAUGCGUAGCCGACCUGAGAGGGGGGGGGCCACCCUGGAAACGAGGACCGGCCCAGGCCCCCAAGGGGGGGCGGAAGGAGGGCUUCUCCCGCAAGGGGCAGAGGCCUAAGGGAGCAGCGCGGGGGGAUGAAGAAGGUUUUUGGAUUCAUAAACCUCUUUUAUUGGGAAAAAAAAAAUGUGAACGUACUUAUGCCCUUCUUGAGGUUACUUAAUAAAAAGCCCCGGGCUAACUACGUC
This 496-nucleotide ribosomal RNA is filed under the name uncultured bacterium. Its description in RNAcentral is "partial 16S ribosomal RNA". It matches the Rfam family "Bacterial small subunit ribosomal RNA", at positions 29 to 507 of the family's 1533-position model. The record is from RNAcentral.